UCUGUUCCAGUUUGAUAUAGAAAUUACUUUUCAAAUUACAUUCCACUAACUUUAUACAUUGUGGGAGACUUUGAAAGGCUGAUUUGUCACUGGUAAUUGAAGUUUCCUACACGGACAAUAGUGUACCAAGUAUCAACUCUUAUCCCGUUCUUCUGUGCCCACUAAAUUUGUAUGUGUAUGUGCAUAUUCGGCUUGCUUAAUUUUGUUCCUAGCUGAACCAUCAUCUUUUAGCUUGUCCUUCUAUGGCCUCCUUUUACUUUGAGAUUUUUCCCAAAUGUGGUUGAGAUCCUAAUUUGUUUGAUUUUUUUAUUGGUUUAAUUAUUAUUUUGAUCUCUAAACUUUAUUCUUUUGACUCUAUACAUAAAGGUUAUGUUUAGCAAUGUAUUUUAGCAAGUUUUUUUUAUUUUUUUUUACUAGUUAAAAAC
This 425-nucleotide long non-coding RNA is filed under the name Glycine max (soybean). Its description in RNAcentral is "long non-coding RNA (GMAX_LNC001126)". The record is from RNAcentral. Lineage: Eukaryota; Viridiplantae; Streptophyta; Magnoliopsida; Fabales; Fabaceae.